UGGGGAAUAUUGGGCAAUGGGGGAAACCCUGACCCAGCGACGCCGCGUGAAGGAAGAAGGUCUUCGGAUUGUAAACUUCUGUCAACGGGAAAGAAACAAAUGACGGUACCCGUGGAGGAAGCCACGGCUAACUACGUGCCAGCAGCCGCGGUAAUACGUAGGUGGCAAGCGUUAUCCGGAUUUACUGGGUGUAAAGGGUGUGUAGGCGGGCAUGCAAGUCAGAUGUGAAAUUUAUGGGCUCAACCCAUAACGGCAUUUGAAACUGCAAGUCUUGAGUAUGGGAGAGGUAAAUGGAAUUCCCGGUGUAGCGGUGAAAUGCGUAGAUAUCGGGAGGAACAUCGGUGGCGAAGGCGAUUUACUGGACCAAAACUGACGCUGAGGCACGAAAGCGUGGGGAGCAAACA
RNAcentral lists this ribosomal RNA (404 nucleotides) under uncultured Eubacteriales bacterium. RNAcentral's name for it is "uncultured Clostridiales bacterium partial 16S ribosomal RNA". It matches the Rfam family "Bacterial small subunit ribosomal RNA", at positions 355 to 774 of the family's 1533-position model. Lineage: Bacteria; Bacillati; Bacillota; Clostridia; Eubacteriales. The record is from RNAcentral.